Long non-coding RNA from Ailuropoda melanoleuca (giant panda), 5157 nucleotides. RefSeq lists it as uncharacterized. NCBI's taxonomy places the organism in Eukaryota, Metazoa, Chordata, Mammalia, Carnivora, Ursidae. The record is from RefSeq and is a predicted model, not a curated record. The transcript has 2 exons.
GAGUUGUGCGCAGAGGGCGGGGGAGCUGGGGUGCUGAGCAGGGUCUGAGUAGGGGCAGGGGGCCCCUCUGAAGCAGGAGAGAGCCUGGUGUCCGCGACUUGGAGGGUCCUUUCCGCCGGCGCCUUCCCCUCCGGCGCAGGGCUGGGGACCCCUCCAGACCCGGCGGCCCGUCCCCCGCGUCCUGCCCGCGCUGGUCUCGGCGCCCCUGGCCCUCGGGGCCGCGCGAGGGGCUCUCGUCGAGUGGCUGCCGAGGCCGUGUGGAGCCAGAGGGGGUCCGCGCAUGGCCUUGGGGCCCUGGGUCCCCAGACCCCUGCCCCCGCCGCGCCCCGCGCGCCCCCUCCAGUUUCUGUCGUAGGUGGUUGCAAAUGGUGACGGGGUCGGGCGGCGGGCAGGCCCCCCAGCUCUCUCGGUGUCCACGCCCUCCGCGCCCCAACACCUGCCCCGCGUGGCUCGCAGUGGCCCUCGGUUCCCUGGUCGCGCUCCUCGCGGGCGGUGGGGAGAGGGAGGGGGCCGCGCACUAGGACCCCCGUCGGCACAGGCGACCACGACCUCCGUCAGGAGCCCGGAGUUCCGAGACUGGCCGUGGGGGCGCGGACUCUGGGAAUCUCCCCGAAGUGCCACUCAGCCCCCUGCCCGUGGCCCGCGGUCCCCUAGAUCAGGGUACAGGUGUCGCGGCCCUGGGUCGGGGGGAGGAGCGAGGUCCCAUCGUUAAGUCUUGGCGCUCGUUCCUAGUCGCUGUGAGUCCCGCAGAGAACAACGCGGGAGGUCUGAGUGGGGGCGGGACGCCCCUCCGCCGCCCGCUCUGGUCAGCAGCCAAGACCUGAAAAGCCGUGUCCUCAGCCACCAGGGCCGGCAAGCACCUGCCCUUCGGUCCGGGACGUGUGCUGUCCCGCCUCCGGCAUCGACUGCACCUCGGCCGGGCGACUGCUGGAAAGCCCAGGCUGAACCCAAACUCACCCUGACCCAGUGCAGUGCAAAGCUUCAGAAAUCAAUGAAAUCAGGAAUGAAAUACAGCCGGAUGCGGACGGCGACAGGCUGGUGGCAGCCGCUGGAGGGGACACCGGGUGGGGGAGAGACACAAAGGUCUCCGCCGUCAGCCAUUCUCUCCUUCAUGGAAAAUCCAAGUCACACGACUUCACGUGUCCUAGAUGAGGGGUUUCUUUCAAGGUCAACAUUCAGACGUAGGAGAUGGAGAUCACCACGGACCACCCUAACCCUCCAGCUGGGCCCUCAGGUGCACAUGGGAGUCGGGGUCAGAGCUGCACCCACCUAGCACUGUGGGAUUCCAGCAACGGGGUGAAACCAGAAACCAGCGCACGGACAGUUGCUUGCCAUGCAUUUGCAUUUAGUAUUUUAAAACAAUAUAUAUAUUUCAGUGUAAACUGCGUCCCCUCACUUAGCUUGAAACAUUGUUCCAUUUUCUAGGGAAACAAAACCUACCAAAAGGUACCGCCUGGAGGACCCUGAGCCCAGCCCCUUCCUGAAGGAUGGCUUUGUGUGGUCCCUGCUCCUUCCCAGUGGACCCCUCCCCCAAGGCAGACCUGCGGUCAGGGCAGAGUCCCCUUUAGAAAGCCCUUUGUCACUGAUUGUAUCUGAUGCUCAGAAAGUUGGUUUUAAUGUGACAAGGGAGGGAAGGGUUUCCAGUCACCUAGAUGUUGCAAAAGGGCACUCACCUGGGGUUCAGGUGAGCAUGACAGGUGGGCCCCCAGGGCCGGGUGUGGCACUUGUGACAGUCACCCCUCGGUAGCCCUGGCACCCUCCCCGGGAGAAGAUGCCGCUGGCAGGAGGAGGCCACCGCAGUGCACGCAGGCACCCCCGCUGGCCGUCCACACCGAUCCCAGGCACACAACCGACCCGGUGUUUACUUCUGUGCACCCGGCAAAGGAGCUUGCUGCCAAGACCCUGUUCUCGACCCGACUCACCAAGAAACCCAAGGCCGUUUUGGAGCCGACUUUCUUGUACUCGCUGUGGCCUCUGGGUAGCAGCGGUCACACCCGCUGCGUGAUAUAUACAUAUACACAUAUGUACACACAGAGAUACACGCACUGCCCACACCUACAGCACAGACACUGCCAACCGUGCUCGUACGGACAGUAAGAAUGUAGCUUUUGCCGAUUCCACAGGAGGAUUCACAACCAAAAUAACCAGAACAAACAGGGCGGUCCUGUGUCACAUGGGCUCAACUCUCAGCAUGUUGAGAAAGCAAUGAGAUCAGCCGCUCUCUCCAUCCUCACACCCGUCCCUCUGGUGGGAUACGCUGGAAGCCAGGGAAGGAUGGGGCAGGCCCCCAAGCUCUGCCUGCGUGCCAGCGCCCACCCCACUUGCUGGUGGUCUCACCCCAAGAGCCGGGUGCCGGGAGGCCGGGCAUCUCCCCAGACCACCAGUUGCACCAGUGGGCACUCCUCCAGCAUGAGCUCACCCGAUCGGCCCACCUGCACUCAGAAUGCAUGGCGACAGUCCCGAAACGGCCUUUCCCCAAGCAGGAGCCCCGUUGCCACGCUGGGUGGCCAAGAGUGUGGAAAGGCCACCUGCUCUAAGCACAGCACACGGCGGCUUCUUCCCCUGCGGCACUGACUGGGGAACUAGGAAGGCUCACACACACUGAGCAGUAAUAUCUAAAGCAGUUUCAAGGUAGAAGAAAGCCAAAGGGAAGACGAGAAGACCAACCACAUCUCUGAGCAGGAACAGAAAUGUACAGGCCAGCAGACACCAGCAGACACCCCGCAGGGCCCUCCCGUGCUUCCUGCUGGCCACUGGCUGCUCUGGGGCCCUCCUGGGGCGAGCCCCGCACUCUGCAACACGGCACGCGCUGCAGCCUGCAUUGGCCCAGCACUCCCUGGCCACACAUGGCCCUGGCUCUGGGCAGCCCCAGAGUGAGACCCCAGGCAGAGGGUCGCCCCCAUGUGACCAGUGAACAGGGCGCCCCUCCACACUCAGCAACUCUGCUCACCAGGGAAAUGCACAGACCAAUCAAGAAAAAGGGAAAUGCAACCGGGGCUGACAGGGAGUACAGCCGACUUCAGAACAGGAUCCGCUUCUGAGUCACCAGGUGGAAAUGCCUUCAGGGCCAGGCGGGGAGAGUUCUGGGCCCGUCUGGCUCCGGGGGUCCCUGGGCCUUAGGCAAUCAUUACCACCAUCUUAAGGGUUAACAUCACUGUCAUGAUUUAUUUGGUUUUUACAAAUCCUACAGGAGCCUGGGUUCAACACCCGUCCAGACCUGCCCCACUCCCCACACCCUGGUCCCCUGCAGAGCCUCACGUUUCUGUCAAGGUCCCGUCGAGGACUCGCUCACACACGUGUGCUGGGCCUUUAGGGUUCCUGACCACAGAGCUGCAGUGGCCCCGCAGGGGGAGCCUUGGUACCUGAAGUCCAAGCUUUGAACUUGGUUCUUGGCCAUGCCAGCGAAAAACAGCUCCGAAAGUUAUUUUCAGAAACACCACAAAGGCUGUGUCCUUGCUGCUGUUGGGACUGGUACAGACGACCCUGUGCUCUUACCUCUUCCCAGGGUGGCGUAGAGAACUUAUCAUCUUUCAUGACGUCUGAUUUUAGCAAAUUAUUUCUAAUUUAAGAGCAUAGUGCAUAUUUUCCCUCUCACUGAAUGUGCUCAUGAUCAUUUUAAUGAACAAAAACAAAAACAAAAGGGGGGGGGACCAAAAACCUGCCCAAGGACCUGGGAGCCGUUCCACCAGAGCCGGCCGCACCCAGCACUGUGCUCGGAGCCUGUCCACGUUCCGCACGGACACUGCUGUCCCUUCAGCCCCUUUCGGGUCAACAAGCACCCGCUCUCGGCAGAGCUGUGGGUGGGCAGACAAGGGCCGAGGCCCAGCGGGCGGGCAGGCUGGGGGGAGGCGGUGCUGGAAACAGUGCACGUCAGAGCCGACAUCGUCCUCCUUGCUUUUCAUCUGCUGGACACGCAGGACACACUCAGCAGCAGCCCUCAAGUUCGUUCUGCAGAAACCACUCGGGUCUCCAGUGACCAGUGCGGGUCCAGCAGGGAGCCACACCACGUCCAGUGCUGCUGGGGGUGUGGGGGCCACUGUGAACUCUGGGCCGGCACAGGCACAUCGUAACCCGUUUCCUUGUCCCCGGCAGCAGGGGCACCACCCACAAGUUCUGGGACACAGACAAGAAAGACUGACUUCCAAGAGUUCACAGAAGGUGCCACUCAAGACAACGGUGAGUGAGUGGGGGCUCCACGGUCAGGCUGCUGGCUCACAAGCCAAGGGCACCAGGCUGUGCCUUUGGUCCAGCUGGUCCUUCCUCCAGGAACCUGGCGUCUCUAGCUCUGCCUGAACCAUCGACGGUGACUGAAGGGAACAGGUGAAGGGCAGUGGGGUGGGUAGGAGCUCUGCGAAGCACAGAGAAGAGGGCUGUGCUCCCCACGUGUGCUUCUCAGGGCUGCUCAGCCAUGCUCCACCAGCAACCUGGACUGUCGGCUCCUCUAACAACAACAAACCGGGUCACUGCUACCGCUUGCGGUUCUUAAGAGGUCCAGAAAGGACCAGAAGGCCAGGUGGGCCUGAAGGAAUGUAGAGGGUGGCCAAAGGGGAGAGGAGGUGGAGGAAUGUGGCCCCAUCCACCCAGCUCGUGGCCGGGGGACAGUGUGGGAGCAUGGAGGGUACACCUCCCACAGCCUGGCGAGGGAACACGCUCAAAGGACCAUGUGACAAGGAGACCGAGGCUGCACCCAGGUAGAAAACGUGGUCUUGGGGUCAGCAGAGCCUCCCACACUUUCCACAACAAACUUACCCAUGGAAAAAACCCUGCCACAAGGCCAAGCAACCAAGGCAAACAGACCCGCACAAACACCACGGAAAUGUUGACGGGACCAGGCAAAGGGAGGACACACCAGCUCCUUCCCAGCAAUGCGUCCAGAGCCUCUGCCUGUGCCCACGCAGCUGGCAAGCACGGGGGGGGCGGGGGGGUCCAGACCCAGAGCUCCCGCCAGGCAGCACCUGCUUCCGGCCCCCACCAGCACAGGGGAAAGGAGCCACCCCUCCCGCCCCAGCCUGCCUGGCUGGGGGGUACCACGCAGCCGCAGUCGGCGCAGCGAACUGAAAGCCCCGAGGCGGCUCCACUGGUAACGCGGUCACGCCGCGCGGCACGCCCACAACACAGACAGACAUGGAACGUAACCCCAUACAUGCUACUAAAAAA